This 351-nucleotide small RNA is filed under the name Fusobacteriaceae. RNAcentral describes it as "Fusobacterium_B sp900545035 Standard tmRNA". It matches the Rfam family "transfer-messenger RNA". Rfam says of the family: Bacterial tmRNA, also known as 10Sa RNA or SsrA, is named for its dual tRNA and mRNA-like properties. Its role is to liberate the mRNA from a stalled ribosome. Lineage: Bacteria; Fusobacteriati; Fusobacteriota; Fusobacteriia; Fusobacteriales. RNAcentral also lists the same sequence under 1 other name. The record is from RNAcentral.
GGGGUCGCAAAGGUUUCGACAGGGCAGGAAGGUCAUAGGUAGCAGGUCAGGCUGACCGCUGUGAGAGGUCAACUCAUCGUUUUAGAUGGAAACAACGAAUACGCUUUAGCUGCUUAAUUAAAGUCAGCUGCUCCGGUUUUCUCAAGGCCGUUAAGAGAAUUCCAAGGGGUAUAACCAAAUUUACGGAUUACUCAGAGCAGAGUCUUGAUGUUUUGAGGAAAUUUAAAAGACUGGUAUUAUCUGUCUGUGUCUGUGCAGUUGGGUAAUAUGAGAUUAAUCGCAGAAUAAACUUGUAGAAGCUUAUGGUGCUUUUUGUUUUGGACACGGGUUCGAUUCCCGUCGACUCCACCA